Molecule: non-coding RNA, 1870 nt
Organism: Aegilops tauschii subsp. strangulata
Lineage: Eukaryota; Viridiplantae; Streptophyta; Magnoliopsida; Poales; Poaceae
Source: RefSeq, a predicted model, not a curated record
AGGCAUAUGCCGCUCUGUACAAGAACCAAACUAGCUCUUGCAGGUCGGAGGGGACAGCGUCUCUCUCCGAGACAGAAACACCUCCUCUGCAUCCACACAACGCACUCACGGACCUACACUGCUACACAGUCACCCAUGGCGCCGAGCAGCACCAACCGCGGCCGCCGCCGCGUGGUCCUCCUACCGCUGCCCUACCAAGGCCACAUCAACCCCAUGCUGCGCCUCGCCGCCGCCCUGUACUCCCGCGGCCUCGCCAUCACCAUCCUCCACCCGGAGACCCGCGCGCCGGACCGCCGGAAGCUCCCGGCGGACUACCGCCUGGUCACCAUCCCGGACAACAUACCGCCGGAGCUCGCCGCGUCCGAGGACAUCGCGUCGUUCGUCUUCGCGCUGAACAAGAACUGCGCAGCGCCAUUCCGGGACUACCUGGCCGGCGCCCUCAGGGCGGAGGAGGAGGGGGAGGACGGCCGCGUCGCCUUCGUGGUGGCCGACGUCGACUGGUUCGCGCCGCUCUCCGUGGCCAGGGAGCUGGGCGUGGCCGCUCUGGCCCUCAUGACCAGCAGCGCCGCCAGGUUCCUGGUGUACCAGGCGUACCCAAGUCUGUGCCGCAAGGGCUAUUUGCCCGUCCAAGAGUCAAAUUUCAACACUGCGGUUGAGGAGCUUCCCCCCUUUCUUGUACGAGACUUGGAUCGCGUGAUGGACAUGGCUCAACACCUCGCGUACGCCGAUCUUCUCGCCCACAUCGUGGCCGGCGUGAGGCAAUCAUCCGGCCUAAUAAUCAACACAUCCGAAGACAUGGAGGGCAGGGAGAUUGAGAGGAUCCGCAGCGAGAUCACCCUUCCGGUGAUCGCCGUCGGCCCUUUGCACAUGAUGACGGCGUCUUCAUCCGUCGGGAGCAGCCUACUUACAGAAGAUCGCAGCUGUUUGGACUGGUUGGACACACAACAACCAAACUCUGUGAUCUACGUGAGCUUUGGGAGCCUGGUGGGCAUCGACACAGACGAGUUCUUGGAGAUGGCCUGGGGCCUGGCCGACAGCCAGCGCCCGUUCGUGUGGGUGGUCCGGCCGGGGCUGGUGCACGGUUGCGAGUUCAGCACGCUCCCCGAAGAGCUGCAAAAGAAUAUAGGUAGCAGAGGCAGAGUAGUCAGUUGGGCUCCGCAGCAGGAGGUGCUGAAGCAUCCGUCUGUGGUCGCGUUUCUCACGCACUGCGGCUGGAACUCAACAACGGAGGGCAUAUCGGAAGGCGCGCCGAUGAUAUGCAGACCGCUGUCCAGCGAUCAGAUGGGCACUAGCAGGUAUGUGUGUGAUGUGUGGAAGGUGGGGGUUAGGUUGGAGGUGGAGAACCAGCUGAAGAGAGGGGACGUCCAGGCGGCCAUCACAAGAUUGAUGGAAGGAAAGGAAGGUGAAGAGGUCAGGGAAAGAAUGAAAGAUUUGAGGCAUGCGGUGGGGAAGUGCACUGAUGAAGGUGGGACAUCUGAUGUUGCUUUGCAACGUUUGGUGGAUUUCAGUGUUUAAGCUACCACUUAACUAUUUAGACUAUGGCUAGCAAACAUGCUCGUGCAUUGCAACAGAAGAAAUGUCUCUAGCUCAUGGACCCGUGCAAUACAACGGGACGGGAGUCAAAGGAUGCUUUUCUUUUUGCGGGGACGCUAAACAUGCUCACUAUGGCUCUUCCUCAAUCAUCAAUGCAAGAUUUCUAAAACAUCACCCUCUCAACAUCUUAUAUAUUUUUUCAGAUUUUUUCAAAACUUUAAAAUAUGGUCUCCACAAAGUUUUCAUUGAAUAUUGGUUUCCGUAUGAUAUUCUCGCGCUCCUAUAUGUACAUAUUGUCAAGUCAUCUAUAUGAGAGGGUUAGUACUUGGUAGAUAAA